This is a long non-coding RNA of Arachis duranensis, 239 nucleotides long. RefSeq lists it as uncharacterized. The transcript is spliced from 3 exons. The record is from RefSeq and is a predicted model, not a curated record. NCBI's taxonomy places the organism in Eukaryota, Viridiplantae, Streptophyta, Magnoliopsida, Fabales, Fabaceae.
AUGCGUCUUUUGGAAGAUCAGAUAAAGGCCUGUGCAUAUAUAUUUUCAGCAUCGCUAGAUCCAUCUGAAGAACUUGUCGUAACAAAUACAAUCAGAGCAACUAGAUCAGACUUUGCACAUUUCAUACCUGACAGACCCAUUACUGAUAAGAUUCUUGAAUUAGCGGCAUUGAAAUGCACUGAUGAUCAAUCUGAUGUAAGUUUCAAGACAACAUGGCAACUUCCACCGAGAUUUGUGGU